AGGUUAAUUGAUGGGGUUAGCGUAAGCGAAGCUCUUGAUCGAAGCCCCAGUAAACGGCGGCCGUAACUAUAACGGUCCUAAGGUAGCGAAAUUCCUUGUCGGGUAAGUUCCGACCUGCACGAAUGGCAUAAUGAUGGCGGCGCUGUCUCCAGCAGAGGCUCAGUGAAAUCGAAAUCGCUGUGAAGAUGCAGUGUACCCGCGGCUAGACGGAAAGACCCCGUGAACCUUUACUGCAGCUUGACACUGAACUUUGACCUUACUUGUGUAGGAUAGGUGGGAGGCUUUGAAGCUGGAACGCUAGUUCCAGUGGAGCCGUCCUUGAAAUACCACCCUGGUAAUGUUGAGGUUCUAACUCUGUCCCGUGAUCCGGGACGAGGACCGUGUCUGGUGGGUAGUUUGACUGGGGCGGUCUCCUCCUAAAGAGUAACGGAGGAGUACGAAGGUGCGCUCAGCGUGGUCGGAAAUCACGCGUAGAGUAUAAAGGCAAAAGCGCGCUUAACUGCGAGACCCACAAGUCGAGCAGGUACGAAAGUAGGUCUUAGUGAUCCGGUGGUUCUGUAUGGAAGGGCCAUCGCUCAACGGAUAAAAGGUACUCUGGGGAUAACAGGCUGAUACCGCCCAAGAGUUCAUAUCGACGGCGGUGUUUGGCACCUCGAUGUCGGCUCAUCUCAUCCUGGGGCUGAAGCAGGUCCCAAGGGUAUGGCUGUUCGCCAUUUAAAGAGGUACGCGAGCUGGGUUUAGAACGUCGUGAGACAGUUCGGUCCCUAUCUACCGUGGGCGCUGGAAAUUUGAGAGGAUCUGCUCCUAGUACGAGAGGACCAGAGUGGACGAACCUCUGGUGUACCGGUUGUGACGCCAGUCGCAUCGCCGGGUAGCUAUGUUCGGAAGGGAUAACCGCUGAAAGCAUCUAAGCGGGAAGCCUACCUCAAGAUAAGAUUUCCCUAGGACUUUAUGUCCUCUAAAGAGCCGUUCGAGACUAGGACGUUGAUAGGUUGGAUGUGGAAGCAUAGUGAUAUGUGAAGCUGACCAAUACUAAUUGCUCGUGAGGCUUGACUAU
This 1057-nucleotide ribosomal RNA is filed under the name Acinetobacter baumannii 6014059. RNAcentral's name for it is "bacterial LSU rRNA". It matches the Rfam family "Bacterial large subunit ribosomal RNA", at positions 1874 to 2925 of the family's 2925-position model. Lineage: Bacteria; Pseudomonadati; Pseudomonadota; Gammaproteobacteria; Moraxellales; Moraxellaceae. The record is from RNAcentral.